GGUGGCCACAUUUGUCAUGGCUGUUAUUUGUGGAACUGACAAACUAAGAUGCGAUGUAUUCUUGAACAUGUUUUUGGUCAGUGUUGGUGUUGUAAUAUCCUCCUAUGGGGAAAUUCACUUCAACGUAGUGGGCACAGUUUACCAGGUGACUGGGAUAUUUGCUGAGGCUCUUAGGCUGGUGUUAACUCAAGUUCUUCUCCAGAAAAAAGGAUUAACACUCAAUCCUAUCACCAGUUUAUAUUACAUAGCUCCAUGCAGUUUCGUCUUUCUUUUUAUUCCAUGGUAUCUUCUGGAGAAGCCUGAAAUGGAA
Molecule: unclassified non-coding RNA, 310 nt
Filed under: Hevea brasiliensis (rubber tree)
Lineage: Eukaryota; Viridiplantae; Streptophyta; Magnoliopsida; Malpighiales; Euphorbiaceae
Source: RNAcentral